GAUGAACGCUGGCGGCGUGCCUAAUACAUGCAAGUCGAGCGAACAGACGAGGAGCUUGCUCCUCUGACGUUAGCGGCGGACGGGUGAGUAACACGUGGAUAACCUACCUAUAAGACUGGGAUAACUUCGGGAAACCGGAGCUAAUACCGGAUAAUAUAUUGAACCGCAUGGUUCAAUAGUGAAAGACGGUUUUGCUGUCACUUAUAGAUGGGUCCGCGCCGCAUUAGCUAGUUGGUAAGGUAACGGCUUACCAAGGCGACGAUGCGUAGCCGACCUGAGAGGGUGAUCGGCCACACUGGAACUGAGACACGGUCCAGACUCCUACGGGAGGCAGCAGUAGGGAAUCUUCCGCAAUGGGCGAAAGCCUGACGGAGCAACGCCGCGUGAGUGAUGAAGGUCUUCGGAUCGUAAAACCCUGUUAUUAGGGAAGAACAAAUGUGUAAGUAACUAUGCACGUCUUGACGGUACCUAAUCAGAAAGCCACGGCUAACUACGUG
This 497-nucleotide ribosomal RNA is filed under the name uncultured bacterium. Its description in RNAcentral is "partial 16S ribosomal RNA". It matches the Rfam family "Bacterial small subunit ribosomal RNA", at positions 28 to 507 of the family's 1533-position model. The record is from RNAcentral.